GCGCGUAGUUCGUUCUUCCGCUACUCGCCAUCUUGUGCAGGUUGCGUGUAGAUUUGUGUUCCUCGAUUUGAAACAGAUUUUCCCGAUCCGAGCGUUGCUCCUGUCCAAAUUAAGGAUUUCAAGCGAUCGAAGAAGAUGAGUUACGGUAGACCACCGCCUCGAAUUGAUGGGAUGGUGUCCUUAAAAGUGGACAAUCUCACGUACAGAACGACGCCGGAGGAUCUGAGACGCGUGUUCGAAAGAUGUGGCGAGGUCGGCGACAUUUACAUACCGAGGGACCGAUUUACUCGAGAAAGUCGUGGAUUCGCGUUUGUCAGAUUUUAUGACAAGCGUGAUGCAGAAGAUGCGUUGGAUGCUAUGGAUGGAAGGCUGUUAGAUGGUAGGGAACUUCGAGUUCAAAUGGCACGGUAUGGACGACCAACAUCACCACACCGAAGUCGUGGCAGCCGUAGGCGAGGAAGAUCACGUAGCAGAAGCAGGGAUCGAAGACGCUCACGUUCCAGAUCACGUAGUAGAUCAAGGAGUCGCGAUAGAGAUCGUAGGCGUUCGUAUAGCCGUAGUCGUAGUCGCUCGCGUUCUGAUAGUAAGAGCUCGCGCGGAAAGUCCCGUUCUCGCAGCAAAUCUCCAGAUAGGCAAAAAGACAGUCGCUCCAAAUCAAGGGACUGAAGUAAUUGAACCAUAUACAAGUACAACUGUGAACAGAUGCACGUGCCGCGAGUGCAGAAUAAUCGUUUCUUGAGAACAAAAAGGCGGUGGAAAGGAGUGGCGUGGCGAGUGUAGCUGAUGAUGGGGUAGCUGAGAGUAAGCAGUAAGCCGAGUAGCAGGGCUGUAAGCAGUUUGCAGUAGCGAGCGGUUGGUGGUCUGGUGAAAGCAGGUUCGCGCGAGUCGAUCAGGGCGAGAAAAAGAGAGAAAGUGUGUGAGCGAAAGCUGUUUCUCUCUCUGUGGGGGGUCGGCAUGCAGAAAUUGCAGAGGGUACGGUCUCGAGAAUGCAGAGAAAUAUGCAGAGAGCUCAACGAAAAGCUACACGCGGUUGCUGAUCUCGACCAUCGUCCGGUUUGCAGGUAGCACGUGAGCAUCACCAGACCUCGCGAGCAACGACUCGACAUUUCAACUGUUAUAUCUACCAAUUGCUUCGCGUAUUUCUUGAAACAAAUAAUUUCUCCAGUAAUGGUCCAUUCAAAAUCAGCUAUGUAUUAUCUUAUUUUCAGCUAUAGGUCUCAUUCAUAAGUUGAAUGUUUAAAUAUCGAUUUUCUAAGUACGAAUAUCCUUUUCCAAAAUUACGUAACGUCAGCUAUAUAUUUCAUUUCAUUUCAAUGGUUCGUUUUAUACAUUUUUUAAAUUCAUUUCUUCCAACAUGAUCUAAUCUAAUUUUAAAAACAAAUCUUUUAACUUUGAUUUCUAUUUUUCUAAAAAUAGUUAUUAAAAUUCAGAACAUAAUACUCGUUAACGUCGUUUUCUAUAAAGUCUGCAAUGAUUCCAGUUCUUAUCAUGGAUCUUAUCACUAUUCGUAUAGUGAUCAUCGCUUGAAACACUUGCCGCCACAUUUUAAAUAAUUGGGAACAUUUUAAGGGUGGGCAAAUGGGAUCCUUUCGUUUUUCCUGUACUCUUUUUUUUUUCAGGUAUCAGCAAACAUCAAUAAAGUAGUAAGUAUUAUUUAGAGGUAAGGCAAUGUUACAGUAAAUAAAGGAUUUCUUUUUAAGGGGAAGAAUGAAAAUUUUUGUAGAGAUAUAUGAAGAGUUCGAUCAAUAAAGAAUUCUUAUUGAA
Frieseomelitta varia is the source of this 1764-nucleotide RNA transcript. It is a transcript of the gene named serine/arginine-rich splicing factor 2, with no coding region annotated. The record is from RefSeq and is a predicted model, not a curated record. NCBI's taxonomy places the organism in Eukaryota, Metazoa, Arthropoda, Insecta, Hymenoptera, Apidae. The transcript has 5 exons.